RNAcentral lists this ribosomal RNA (503 nucleotides) under uncultured bacterium. RNAcentral describes it as "bacterial SSU rRNA". It matches the Rfam family "Bacterial small subunit ribosomal RNA", at positions 9 to 523 of the family's 1533-position model. The record is from RNAcentral.
GAGUUUGAACCUGGCUCAGGAUGAACGCUGGCGGCGUGCUUAACACAUGCAAGUCGAACGGACCCAUAUUGAAACCUAGUGAUAUAUGGGUUAGUGGCGGACGGGUGAGUAACGCGUGGGCAACCUGCCUUACACAGGGGGAUAACACUUAGAAAUAGGUGCUAAAACCGCAUAAGCGCACAGCUUCGCAUGAAGCGGUGUGAAAAACUCCGGUGGUGUAAGAUGGACCCGCGUCUGAUUAGCUUGUUGGCGGGGUAACGGCCCACCAAGGCGACGAUCAGUAGCCGGCCUGAGAGGGCGGACGGCCACAUUGGGACUGAGACACGGCCCAGACUCCUACGGGAGGCAGCAGUGGGGAAUAUUGCACAAUGGGGGAAACCCUGAUGCAGCGACGCCGCGUGAGUGAAGAAGUAAUUCGUUACGUAAAGCUCUAUCAGCAGGGAAGAAAAUGACGGUACCUGAGUAAGAAGCCCCGGCUGACUACGUGCCAGCAGCCGCGGUAA